AUGGAUUUCAAUCGAAGCUUCACAUCGAACCUCGGGAGCGCUGGAAGUGCUAAAUCACAACAGAGUAUGUUCAAAGCACUCCGCCGGCUUCAUGGACAGAACUUGGAGAGCCGAGGGCUUCAUGAUAUGACUGAAGCAUUUCAGUCAUUUGUCACAAGGGCACGGUUUUUCAGUAUUGGAAAAUUGAGGCGAACUUGGUCCCACUCUGCCGCAGAGUUUAUGAAAUAUCGACGACUUUUACCAAUGUUACUCGCCGAUGGAGAUGCAUUUGAUGGAGGAGAAACAGACGAUUUCGAUGCAUCUAUCGCUUUCCAACAUACUUCUCGUGAUGAUCGAAAAAUCGUGGUUUCGAAUAUUUCUGCUAAAGUCACCCAAUCACAGCUUCAAUCCUUCUUUUCUCAAUAUGGAAAAAUAACCAGCUGCAUUCUGCCUCGCGAAGAGAAAAAGACAUCAGUGUUCGGAACACUUCCAAAGCAUUCCAGAAAUUGUGGAACUGCUACUAUUACUUUUAAAAAGUCUGAGCAUGCUGAUCGCGCGAAAAAUGCGAAUCCUGAAGAGUUGAAGUUUUAUGAUCAAGUUAUGGUUGUCUCAGCUUAUGUAUCGAAAAAACGUGGAGGUAAAGGUCUCGUGCUCAGUGAUGAUGUUGGAAGUCGUGAAGAUACUCCAUUGUCCCGUGCUUCAUCUACACAGUCGUUAGCUUCAGGAUCCGAGCAAUCAUUCAAUUUGGGAAACGUCCCGGAUAAAAUUCUUAGAAGGGUCAUCUCAUUUUUACCAAUUCACGAAACAAUUCGAUUGGAACGAGUUAAUAAAAAGUUCAUGGAAGAAUCAAUUAAAUCCUGGGAACUUGUCAAUAAAAUUGCAUUGGCAAGAGAAACUGUAUUCAACAAGCAACGACCAAUGAGAACAAGUCAUCUUAAAAUGAGUUUGAGCUGAAAUUUAAAAAAAUUAGUUUUAAAAAGUUAAUAAAAAAUAAAAAAUUUCAGGCGAUUCUUACUCGUGCUGGUGCACACUUGAGGUCACUUGAUGUUUCUGGAAUUGUGCAUCUUCUUGAUGAUCGCCGAGCACUUAAAGUCAUCGCAACAUGCUGUCCGAAUUUAGUUGAUCUUGAUAUUAGUGGAACUCAUGCUCAGGCUGAAGCUCUCGAAGAACUUGGAGAAUCACUUUCACAUUUAGAACAGCUAUCUUAUAGAGGAAUGGAAACAACUGGAGACAAGGCAUUCUACUUUUUACUUAAAAACUGUGGUCAUUCACUUAAAUUUGUGGAUUUACGAAAUUCAAAACGGCUCCACGGACGAUCAUUCAAAUUAUUCGGGUCACAACUGGAAAGUUUAUAUUUGGAUGGAUCAUCAAAAGUAGAUGAGAUGGCUUUUGAAGAUUUAUGCACCAGUUGUGGAGGUCUCAAAGAAUUACGGAUCAAUGAAUGCUAUAAAAUCACAGAUGAGAAUCUGAGUAUGAUCGCUAGAAGAAUGGAAGAUCUUUCAAUCUUAACAUUAUGUGGGGAUGGAUUCAAAAGUUUAACGUCAGCCGGAUUGAUUCAUAUUAGUCACAUGAGAAAUAUUACAGAAUUGGCCCUUGACUACAACGCUCUUGUUAAUGAUGAGCUUCUUAUCUCAAUAUCAGCUGGUCUACCGCUUCUUUCAUCACUCAGUCUUGCUAACGCUGGAAACGAUUCGUCGAUCACUGCAGAAGGAGUUUCAGCGAUUAAAAAUCUAAAAGAACUGACUCAGCUUGAUGCAUCGUCGCUGGCAGCUGUCAAUUCAAAAGUUUUAGAGCAACUGGGCUCACUGAAAAAGUUGGAAAUUAUUCAACUGAGAAAUUGCACAUAUCUUGGUGAUGAUGGUGUGCGUGCGAAGCUUAGAAUGCCAAAUAUCCGCCACGUGGAUCUAAGUGGUUCAAUUUUAGUAUCAAAUGACUCGAUUCAACAGUUUAUCAAAGCAUUCCCAUCAGGACCAAAGCUUCCACCAAUCACCCUCGUUGUCGGUGGAACUGCCGCUGAUGCUUCAAAGUUGUCAGUUCGAGGAUCAAGAGUAGUCGUCGACUUUUCCGAUUAUUCCACGAUUGUCACGAUGCAGACAAGCCAAUGUUCGUCAUCCAAGUUUGCCAUUGGAGGAUCAGCGUCAGACGCUGAAGGCUCGGAUGAUGAAUUUGAAGCAUUGACCGCACAAAGAAGUUUCUACAUUGAUGCUGUCUGUGGAGAAGAAGAAUCACCAAUUACAGACGAUGGAAAAUUGGCGGAAUGGGCUGAAAAAGAAGCAAGAAGCCUCGGGCUUAUUAAGGAUUAA
RNAcentral lists this unclassified non-coding RNA (2282 nucleotides) under Caenorhabditis elegans. RNAcentral's name for it is "Non-coding transcript of protein-coding gene fbxl-3". Lineage: Eukaryota; Metazoa; Nematoda; Chromadorea; Rhabditida; Rhabditidae. The record is from RNAcentral.